Molecule: transfer RNA, 73 nt
Filed under: Erinaceus europaeus (western European hedgehog)
Lineage: Eukaryota; Metazoa; Chordata; Mammalia; Eulipotyphla; Erinaceidae
Rfam family: tRNA
About the family: Transfer RNA (tRNA) molecules are approximately 80 nucleotides in length.
Source: Rfam by way of RNAcentral
CAGAAUGUGGCUUAGCUGUAGAGCACAUGCCUUUCCAUUCAUGUGGACCCGGGUUUGAUCCCUGGCAUUGUAU